Molecule: transfer RNA, 72 nt
Filed under: bacterium
Lineage: Bacteria
Description: tRNA-Gly
Rfam family: tRNA
About the family: Transfer RNA (tRNA) molecules are approximately 80 nucleotides in length. Their secondary structure includes four short double-helical elements and three loops (D, anti-codon, and T loops).
Source: RNAcentral
GCGGGUAUCGUAUAGUGGCUAAUAUACGUCCUUGCCAAGGACGAGCGAGGGGUUCGAUUCCCCUUACCCGCA